RNAcentral lists this ribosomal RNA (429 nucleotides) under bacterium. RNAcentral describes it as "partial 16S ribosomal RNA". It matches the Rfam family "Bacterial small subunit ribosomal RNA", at positions 355 to 776 of the family's 1533-position model. The record is from RNAcentral.
UAGGGAAUCUUCCACAGUGGACGCAAGUCUGAUGGAGCAACGCCGCGUGAGUGAAGAAGGUUUUCGGAUCGUAAAGCUCUGUUGUUGGUGAAGAAGGAUAGAGGCAGUAACUGGUCUUUAUUUGACGGUAAUCAACCAGAAAGUCACGGCUAACUACGUGCCAGCAGCCGCGGUAAUACGUAGGUGGCAAGCGUUGUCCGGAUUUAUUGGGCGUAAAGCGAGCGCAGGCGGAAUGAUAAGUCUGAUGUGAAAGCCCACGGCUCAACCGUGGAACUGCAUCGGAAACUGUCAUUCUUGAGUGCAGAAGAGGAGAGUGGAAUUCCAUGUGUAGCGGUGGAAUGCGUAGAUAUAUGGAAGAACACCAGUGGCGAAGGCGGCUCUCUGGUCUGCAACUGACGCUGAGGCUCGAAAGCAUGGGUAGCGAACAGG